Molecule: ribosomal RNA, 428 nt
Filed under: uncultured bacterium
Lineage: Bacteria
Description: bacterial SSU rRNA
Rfam family: Bacterial small subunit ribosomal RNA
Source: RNAcentral
UGGGGAAUCUUCCGCAAUGGACGAAAGUCUGACGGAGCAACGCCGCGUGAGUGAAGAAGGCCUUCGGGUCGUAAAGCUCUGUUGUCAGGGAAGAAAGGUACUUUUGUGAAUAAUGGGAGUAAAUGACGGUACCUGACGAGGAAGCCACGACUAACUACGUGCCAGCAGCCGCGGUAAUACGGGGGGGGCAAGCGUUGUCCGGAAUCAUUGGGCGUAAAGAGUUCGUAGGUGGUAUGUUAAGUCUGGUGUUAAAGCCCGAAGCUCAACUUCGGUUCGGCACUGGAUACUGGCAAACUUGAAUGUGGUAGAGGUAAAGGGAAUUCCUGGUGUAGCGGUGAAAUGCGUAGAUAUCAGGAGGAACAUCGGUGGCGUAAGCGCUUUACUGGGCCAUAAUUGACACUGAGGAACGAAAGCCGGGGUAGCAAAUG